Molecule: ribosomal RNA, 956 nt
Filed under: bacterium enrichment culture clone ZZ_B4b
Lineage: Bacteria
Description: bacterial SSU rRNA
Rfam family: Bacterial small subunit ribosomal RNA
Source: RNAcentral
AAUUUGAUCCUGNNUNAGGACGAACGCUGGCGGCGCGCCUAACACAUGCAAGUCGAACGAAGUUAAACUAGCUGAAGUUUUCGGAUGGAAGCGAAUUUAGCUUAGUGGCGAACGGGUGAGUAACACGUGAGUAACCUGCCCUUCAGUGGGGGACAACAGUUGGAAACGACUGCUAAUACCGCAUAAGACCACAGUGCCACAUGGCACAGUGAUCAAAGGAUUAAUUUUCGCUGAAGGAUGGACUCGCGUCUGAUUAGCUAGAUGGUGAGGUAACGGCCCACCAUGGCAACGAUCAGUAGCCGGACUGAGAGGUUGAUCGGCCACAUUGGGACUGAGACACGGCCCAGACUCCUACGGGAGGCAGCAGUGGGGGAUAUUGCACAAUGGAGGAAACUCUGAUGCAGCGACGCCGCGUGAGGGAAGAAGGUUUUCGGAUUGUAAACCUCUGUCUUCGGGGACGAAACAAAUGACGGUACUCGAGGAGGAAGCCACGGCUAACUACGUGCCAGCAGCCGCGGUAAUACGUAGGUGGCAAGCGUUGUCCGGAAUUACUGGGUGUAAAGGGAGCGCAGGCGGAACUGCAAGUUGGGUGUUUAAUCUACGGGCUCAACCCGUAUCAGCAUUCAAAACUGUGGUUCUUGAGUAAUGCAGAGGUAGGCGGAAUUCCCGGUGUAGCGGUGGAAUGCGUAGAUAUCGGGAGGAACACCAGUGGCGAAGGCGGCCUACUGGGCAUCAACUGACGCUGANGCUCGAAAGCAUGGGUAGCAAACAGGAUUAGAUACCCUGGUAGUCCAUGCUGUAAACGAUGAUUACUAGGUGUGGGGAGAUUGACCCUCUCCGUGCCGCAGUUNACACAAUAAGUAAUCCACCUGGGGAGUACGANCGCANGGUUGANNUCAAAGGAAUUGACGGGGNCCGCACNANGCAGUNNNUAUGUGGUUUAAUUCGAAGCAACG